UAAAAUCAUGUCUUUCUAAAAGCCUCUCUAUUCUCUUCCUGUUUGAUCAUGGUCUAUCACUGAAAGAAAAUCUUCCGUGAGUUUAGAAGUAUGCUCUGUGCUUGCCAUAUAAUGGAUCCUGCACAUUAGAAACUAAGCUUAGACCAGAGAUACUAAAUCUAGUUGGGUUUGAAGAAGUAGUCUAGAUUAAUGGUAUUAACAGCUAAAAGGCAGUGCCUAUUUAAGCGGCCAAGAAGAGAAGGCCUUGCUUUUGCAUAGCAUACCUGCUGUUAUGAUCUUUUAAUCUCAAAUAUCUCGUCUUCAAGCUCAGCUGUGUCUUUUACUUUUUUCAAUGCUUAAUAUUUUUUAAAUAUAAAUAUUUAAUAUUUUACGUUUGGGCUCGGGACCAAUGCAGUGGUUGGCUCGGGCUUGCUUAAAUAUAAUUUUGGGUUAAA
This 434-nucleotide long non-coding RNA is filed under the name Gossypium barbadense (sea-island cotton). RNAcentral's name for it is "long non-coding RNA (GBAR_LNC021642)". The record is from RNAcentral. Lineage: Eukaryota; Viridiplantae; Streptophyta; Magnoliopsida; Malvales; Malvaceae.